Molecule: ribosomal RNA, 715 nt
Filed under: Enterococcus raffinosus
Lineage: Bacteria; Bacillati; Bacillota; Bacilli; Lactobacillales; Enterococcaceae
Description: bacterial SSU rRNA
Rfam family: Bacterial small subunit ribosomal RNA
Source: RNAcentral
AACGGGUGAGUAACACGUGGGUAACCUGCCCAUCAGAAGGGGAUAACACUUGGAAACAGGUGCUAAUACCGUAUAACAAUAAAAACCGCAUGGUUUCUAUUUGAAAGGCGCUUUUGCGUCACUGAUGGAUGGACCCGCGGUGCAUUAGCUAGUUGGUGAGGUAACGGCUCACCAAGGCAACGAUGCAUAGCCGACCUGAGAGGGUGAUCGGCCACAUUGGGACUGAGACACGGCCCAAACUCCUACGGGAGGCACCAGUAGGGAAUCUUCGGCAAUGGACGAAAGUCUGACCGAGCAACGCCGCGUGAGUGAAGAAGGUUUUCGGAUCGUAAAACUCUGUUGUUAGAGAAGAACAAGGAUGAGAGUAGAAUGUUCAUCCCUUGACGGUAUCUAACCAGAAAGCCACGGCUAACUACGUGCCAGCAGCCGCGGUAAUACGUAGGUGGCAAGCGUUGUCCGGAUUUAUUGGGCGUAAAGCGAGCGCAGGCGGUUUCUUAAGUCUGAUGUGAAAACCCCGGCUCACCGGGGAGGGUAUUGGAACUGGGAACUUGAGUCAGAAGAGGAGAGUGGAUUCCAUGUGUAGCGGUGAAUGCGUAGAUAUAUGGAGGAACACCAGUGGCGAAGCGGCUCUCUGGUCUGUACUGAGCUGAUGCUCGUAGCGUGGGGAGCAACAGGAUUAAAUACCCGGUAGCCACGCCGAAACGAUGAUGCUAGU